UACGAAAAGUGCAAGCGUUGUUCGGAUUUACUGGGCGUAAAGAGAGUGUAGGUGGUUUAUUAAGUCGGAUGUAAAAUCCCGGGGCUCAACCUCGGAACUGCAUUCGAUACUGAUAGGCUAGAGUUUGGGAGGGGUAAGCGGAAUUCCGUGUGUAGCAGUGAAAUGCGUAGAUAUACGGAGGAACACCUGAGGCGAAGGCGGCUUACUGGACCAAUACUGACACUGAGACUCGAAAGCGUGGGUAGCAAACAGGAUUAGAAACCCCAGUAGUCC
This 273-nucleotide ribosomal RNA is filed under the name uncultured bacterium. Its description in RNAcentral is "partial 16S ribosomal RNA". It matches the Rfam family "Bacterial small subunit ribosomal RNA", at positions 524 to 796 of the family's 1533-position model. The record is from RNAcentral.